Molecule: ribosomal RNA, 207 nt
Filed under: uncultured bacterium
Lineage: Bacteria
Description: partial 16S ribosomal RNA
Rfam family: Bacterial small subunit ribosomal RNA
Source: RNAcentral
CGUGUAGGCGGGAAUGUAAGUCGGGCGUGAAAUCCCUAGGCUCAACCUAGGAACUGCACUCGAAACUGCGUUUCUUGAGUGCCGGAGAGGAAAGCGGAAUUCCUGGUGUAGAGGUGAAAUUCGUAGAUAUCAGGAGGAACACCAGUGGCGAAGGCGGCUUUCUGGACGGUAACUGACGCUGAGACGCGAAAGCGUGGGGAGCAAACA